GAUGAACGCUGACAGAAUGCUUAACACAUGCAAGUCUAUGAGAAGAUCUACUUCGGUAGAAGGUUAUCAUGGCGGACGGGUGAGUAACGCGUAAAGAACUUGCCUCUUAGACUGGGAUAACAGAUGGAAACGUCUGAUAAGACUAGAUAUAAUAGCGACAUGGCAUCAUGUUGUUAUGAAAGGUAACACUAAGAGAGAGCUUUGCGUCCUAUUAGUUAGUUGGUGAGGUAAUGGCUCACCAAGACGAUGAUAGGUAGCCGGCCUGAGAGGGUGAACGGCCACAAGGGGACUGAGAUACGGCCCUUACUCUUACGGGAGGCAGCAGUGGGGAAUAUUGGACAAUGGAGGAAACUCUGAUCCAGCAAUUCUGUGUGCACGAUGAAGGUUUUCGGAUCGUAAAGUGCUUUCAGUAGGGAAGAAGAAGUGACGGUACCUACAGAAGAAGCCCCGGCUAACUUCGUGCCAGCAGCCCGCGGUAACGCUCGU
Molecule: ribosomal RNA, 486 nt
Filed under: uncultured bacterium
Lineage: Bacteria
Description: bacterial SSU rRNA
Rfam family: Bacterial small subunit ribosomal RNA
Source: RNAcentral